RNAcentral lists this long non-coding RNA (334 nucleotides) under Meriones unguiculatus (Mongolian gerbil). Its description in RNAcentral is "lncRNA (ENSMUGG00000017085.1)". The record is from RNAcentral. Lineage: Eukaryota; Metazoa; Chordata; Mammalia; Rodentia; Muridae.
CUGGGGAGAUGGUUCUGUGAGUCUCUUUUGGAGUGGCUUGGGACAUUGGCUGCCGGCUGAGCUGCACAGGAGAGGGCGCACUUGGGAAUGUAGUGUCUCAUGGCCCACUCGAGAGUCUAGAGCUGUCACACCAGGGCUUCCAGGCACCCCAGGAAUCGGCAAGAGGCACAUUCAGCAUUCCCCACCUGGUUUCGUUGCUCAUCUCUUCAGUUACUGAUGAGAUUUAAAGGACACCUGGGUGGUUUUUGCAUGCUUCAGCCAUCCUCGCAGUUGAAUCCAGAGAUAUGACUUCAAGGUGGCCAGCUGGUGAGAAAGCUGUUCCUUCCACCUUCUU